AUGUCACGUCGAGGUACUGCAGAAAAAAGAACUGCAAAAUCCGAUCCAAUUUUUCGUAAUCGAUUAGUUAACAUGGUGGUUAACCGUAUUAUGAAAGACGGAAAAAAAUCAUUGGCUUAUCAAAUUCUCUAUCGAGCCGUGAAAAAGAUUCAACAAAAGACAUAAACAAAUCCACUAUUGGUUUUACGUCAAGCAAUACGUAGAGUAACUCCCAAUAUAGGAGUAAAAACAAGACGUAAUAAAAAAGGAUCGACGCGGAAAGUUCCGAUUGAAAUAGGAUCUGAACAAGGAAGAGCACUUGCCAUUCGUUGGUUAUUAGAAGCAUCCCAAAAGCGUCCGGGUCGAAAUAUGGCUUUCAAAUUAAGUUCCUAACUAGUAGAUGCUGCCAAAGGGAGUGGGGGUGCCAUACGCAAAAAGGAAGCGACUCAUAGAAUGGCAGAGGCAAAUAGAGCUCUUGCACAUUUUCGUUAA
This 471-nucleotide ribosomal RNA is filed under the name Triticum aestivum (bread wheat). RNAcentral describes it as "partial small subunit ribosomal RNA". Lineage: Eukaryota; Viridiplantae; Streptophyta; Magnoliopsida; Poales; Poaceae. The record is from RNAcentral.